Molecule: long non-coding RNA, 956 nt
Filed under: Canis lupus familiaris (dog)
Lineage: Eukaryota; Metazoa; Chordata; Mammalia; Carnivora; Canidae
Description: lncRNA (ENSCAFG00000053431.1)
Source: RNAcentral
GAAAGACACAGAGGCAGAGGGAGAAGCAGGCUCCACGCAGGGAGCCCGAUGCGGGGCUCGAUCUCACAACCCCGGAAUCAAGACCUGAACUGAGAUCGAGUGGGAUGCCCAAUGCGCCCCCAGGGAUGAGUGAUCCAAUCCCAGUCACAAGCUGUAAUGUGCUGCAGAGAAGUACAGAUACUUGGAGCUCUUCCAGCUGAGGAUGGAAGGGGGACAAGAUGUGAGAAUCCAAGCACUUGGUGCCUCAUGCAAUGACAUCAUCAGCAGGUACAACCAUCCCGGGAGGUUGGCCUCCCAGGGGAGCACUGGGAAGACAAACAGAAGGUAGGAGGGCCCCAUGAGGAUCGGAGAGCUGAGCUGGAUGUUCCUGAGAGAUAGAAGCUCUGUGUCCUCUGUCCCAACCCUGAGACCAACAGCCUCUGACCCAGAUGCUGGCCAUUGGAAUCUCUUCUUUGGGAAAAAAAAUAAGGUCACAGAGUAAUCUCGCCAGAGUCGGAGGAUGUGCAUCUGGAAGGAGAACACAACCCCAGGAUGGUGAGAGGAGUCCUCUUGUUAACCCAUUCACAUUCCUGGACAAAACUGAAGACGUAAGACAGAUGGGAAUAAAGGGGACUGAACGUUUUCUGGUAAAAUUGGUGAUAAUCUGUGAUGCCUGGGUGGCUCAGUGGUUGAGUGUCUGCCUUUGGCUCAGGUCGUGAUCCUGGGGUUGGGCCUGCUUCUCCCUCUGCCUGUGUCUCUGCCUCUCUCUGUGUCUCGCAUGAGUAAAUAAAUAAAAUCUUAAAAAAUAAUAAAAUUGGUGAUGAUCUGACCACAAAAUAAAGGUAAAAGCACCAAGCCCUCUGGGUUUUGUUUUGGUAUUAUCAUAGCUGCCAAGGGUUGUCAUGGAAACCAGCAAGGGUGUCAAAUCCUAGCACUCAUGGCUUUGUGAAGAGGAUUUGAAGAUACUCUGAUGGGAG